UUUUGGUUUUGUAAUUGGAAUGAGUUAAGUAUAAACCCCUUUACAAGUAUCAAUUGGAGGGCAAGUCUGGUGCCAGCAGCCGCGGUAAUUCCAGCUCCAAUAGCGUAUAUUAAAGUUGUUGCAGUUAAAAAGCUCGUAGUUGGAUUUCUGUUAAUAAUUUAUAUAAAAUAUUUUGAUGAAUAUUUAUAUAAUAUUAACAUAAUUCAUAUUACUAUAUAUUUUAGUAUAUGAAAUUUUACUU
This 241-nucleotide ribosomal RNA is filed under the name Cryptosporidium parvum. RNAcentral describes it as "partial small subunit ribosomal RNA". It matches the Rfam family "Eukaryotic small subunit ribosomal RNA", at positions 495 to 757 of the family's 1831-position model. The record is from RNAcentral. Lineage: Eukaryota; Apicomplexa; Conoidasida; Eucoccidiorida; Cryptosporidiidae.